AUUGUUUAGUUUGAUGAUAUCUCUUUGUGUGCCCUUCCCAUGUGGGACAAAUGGACAAUUUCUAAAGCACUUUAAGCAUUAUCUUCUCUGAAAAGAACAUCCAUCUUGGUUUUCUGAAAACAAGAAAACACAAUUGUUAUGGAAGUCUCCAAUUUUCUUUGGCUAACCCAGGUCACCUUGGCAAUAUUGGUUCCCUUCAGAAUUUUACUAUGCUAAUAAAGAAGAAUCAUGAGCAUUUUUCUUGUGUCAAUGGGAAGCUUUCAAGCUUAUAGUUUGUAUUUUUUAUUGUGGAAGGUGACAUUUCCAACAUCAUCUAGUGGAGUAAAGAUUGUACUGUAAAAGCUUGUAGACUCUCUGUCCUUUUGAAUAAGCUGUAGGUAUUCCUAACUUCUUGGAUGUUUCUUAUCCAUGGGUUUCUGAGUCUGCUUAUUGUGAACUUAAUUUUAAUACUGAUAGUGGAGCUGUGACUUUUUAAUUUGUGGGAGCUUGAUGUUACCCUAGUUUAUUGUUCUAAUAGUUUUCAUUCUUUUAUUCUAUUUUUUCUGCUUUUUAUUGGCCUUAUCUCUUUGAGGAUUUUUUUUCCUUCUUUAAUCUUCUUCUCUUAGACCUUGUCUUUGUAUUUUUAUCUUCCUGUUAAUAAGUUUAGUUGCCCAAUUCAACAAUUGGCUGCUAUGUUUAUAGGCAUUUUAACUUUGUUUGAUAUGCCCCACUUUUUACUCUCAGAAUCUGGGAUAGAUAAUCUCUGCAAGAUAUUAAGCACUUUAGUUCACUUUCUAAAAAAAUGGUUGAUUUUGGUAUUUUAAAUUCAUUAACUUUCAGUAGCUGCUUAUAUGUUGUGAGAUUGCUCUAAAAAUCUUACCCCUUCUAAAUAGUCCUCAGCAUCUAGUUGUACAUAAAAUAUUUCUUUAAAGUUCAAAUUGCAUAAUUUGUUUCCAUUAAUAUUUAUCCACUGUAAUAAAUUAUUAUUAUUAUGUCAUUAUUUACCUACUAGAGAUGCACUUUUUUAUUUUUUAAAUAAAAUAAAAAAUGAAAUAUUCCAUCUAUAUUUGUUUUGGUUUUUUUCUUGCAAUACCAGUUCCCCGCCAUGACAGGCACAACCGUAAAGUAAGAUACUUUUAGGAAACAAUUAUGAAUUAGUAAUGGAUGAAAUUUCACAUUUGUGCUUGUAGAUAGUGCAAUUCUCUCUCUUAUAAAAUUUGAAAUAUGGUGUUUGCAUUUUAUUUCAGGGUUUACAUUUACGGAAGUCAGCUCCGUUAGAGCGAGUGCAAGUAAAGUUAUCUGUUGCCACUUCUCAUCAGAUGGAAAACUGCUUGCUAGUGGUGGCCAUGAUAAAAAGGUAAGUGCCAAGAGGAUUAAAGUAUCCUAUAUUAUUAAAAGUGAAUGUUGAAGAGCACUAAACAUGUGAUGAAGGGGGAGCUCAAAUGCUUCAUCGUGUUGCAUAGUUAGGAUCAUAGAAGAAUAACUGAACUAGUUUUCUUAAUGGUCUUAAAUGCAGGCAGUAUUGUGGUAUACAGACACUUUAAAGACAAAAACUACACUUGAAGAACAUUCAAUGUUAAUCACUGAUGUCCGUUUCAGUCCGAGCAUGCCGCGUCUUGCAACAUCUUCAUUUGACAAAACCGUCAGGGUUUGGGAUGCUGACAGUGUCAGUGGACUAGUUCUUCUUUUUGUAGUUCUGUGUGUUUUCUUUGGUUUUCUAAUGUUAGUGUUUUUGUAAGAAUAUUUUGCUUCUGAAUGUUCUGUCUGGAGCAUUGGUUUAUUGGAGUUGACCUGGUUACAUCUAGGAUUAUAUUGACCUAUCAAGUUUGUCAACUUGGUGGUGUUUGAUUACUCAUUUAUUGUACUGUUUUUGUGAGAGAAUGCAUUUUACAUAUUUAUAUUAGAAAGUUGGUUGCUUGAAGAUAACAAAAUUGAAACUGUGCAUGUUUUUGGCUGUUUGUUUGUAAUCCAUGACUUCUAAACUGUGAUUGUUUUCCUGUUGGUGGUGGAGUUCCCUAGUUUAGUUUGUCAACAAUGAAUAGAAAAAAGAGAGAAGGGCUGUUAGGAGAGAGGAGUUUUCUUUGUGCCCACAAAAAAUGAUCGCCUUAAAAGAUUGAGGUGAUUUGGUGAGAAGAAAGAGAGAUUAAGCACCACUUUCCUACACUGGAUUUAUUUUUAUUUUUUUACAAAGGAGCCUAGUGUGGUUCAUUAUUCUAUUUCUUUUUUCCUUCUCUGUCCAUUUUCUGUUUAUGUGAAGUGCUUGAAUUUUCUCCUUUUCUCUCAUCUUUAAGUGGUGGGAAAAAAAAAGAUUACUAGUUUUUGAUAGGAACAUGUUUUUCUUUUACAUCUUUUUUGUGUUUUGGGGUUGAGAUUGUUUGAAGAAUAAUGCAUCCUUCAGUUUGUACUGUUACAUUUAUUCCUGUCAAAUCAAUUGUUUGUUUCAAUCACAAAAGGAAAAAAAUGGUAAAAUUUAGUAUAUUGCACCAUACAAUUGCCAUAUAAAUGAAGAUGGGGGCAUUUUCCUCUGUUGUUGCCUUGUAGCUCAAAUAGUGUUUUCUUGCUUUCCAAUAUAUGUUGGGAUGUUUGCAAUGCUGUGGGGUGGUGUUCUGCAUCAUGCAGCAAUGCAAAUGAUCAAGAUGAUACUUGCCAGAUUAGCGCUUUCAUUUUUUGAUGCAUUUACAGAUGAACAAUGAAUACCUAGCGUAUAUUUUGGUCGGUAAUAGUUAGUGAAUCAGGCUGAUGCUGUGAUAUAUCACCUUUAGAAAAGAUACGGGAAAUAUUUACAAUAAGAUUUCUAACAUGUAUUAUUUCCCCUACUUUUAAAACUUAUGAUAGCUUAGCCAAGGGAUUGGCCGUGAUGGACGUGUAAUGCUAUUACAAAAAGUGAUUAUUUCCCACUCCUUUACCAAGUUCUAGGGAUAAUUAUUGACGCAUGCUAAUUGUACACAUCUAGCAUCCUUGGGUGGUGCACCCUCUAUCAUACAUUUGCCCAGAAAAAAAAAAGAAAAAAGAAAGAAAAAUCACCUUCGCUGCUUUCAUGAACUGGCAUUUCUUCAUUAAUGAAAUAUAUUGGGGACUUUACAUUGUCCUCUUAGUUGUGCAGCUUGUGCCACAACAUCAACUUGAUUGCGAAACCUCCCAAUUCUAUCAGUUAUCAAUUUAAUGUUUUUAAUGAUAAAAUAAAUAGAUUAUAUAUAUAUGUAUGGUAAUAGGCACAUGUUAAGGGUACCAUACCUGUGUGCUUGUAUGUAUGGGUGCACAGGUAUGUGGACAUAUGAGUGUGUGUACUGUUUCACUAAGAAAUAGAUCUGCAUAUAAUUUGGAUUUCAUGUUUAAAUACAAUGUGAUUUGUGCGUGUACGCAUUUAUUGCUUAUAGUGUAAUGUGCCAGGGCUACCUUUUGUCCUUAUUUGCAUUAUUCAUAUGGAUGUGAGAUUUGUAAUUUGUGUACUGGGCCUACUGGCUUAUUACUGACAGCUGCUUGUUUUUAUUCCUUGUAAAUUGGCUGUACCGUCAAAUCUUUUACUUUUUAAUUUUCCUUUUAGUCUGUCUAUAUGCUUAUGUGUUGGUAUGACUCCUAAUUGUACUUGAUGUCGUCUCAACUUUAUAUAUGACUUAUUCUGCAGACUAGUUACUCGCUACGUACUUUUACUGGACAUUCUGCGUCUGUUAUGUCGUUGGACUUCCACCCGAAUCAAGAUGAUCUCAUCUGCUCUUGUGAUGGAGAUGGUGAGAUACGAUACUGGAAUAUUAAGAACGGUAGCUGUGCAAGGGUAUUCAAGGUAGAAACUAGUUCAUGUUGGUUUAUGCAUUUCAUAAAUUAUGUAAGCCUUGGAGGGGUAUGGACAUUCUUGGAGAAUUCUAAUUUUCUUCAUUUCAAUUAGGGUGGUACGGCCCAAAUGAGAUUUCAACCUCGUCAUGGAAGAUAUCUUGCAGCAGCUGCAGAGAACGUUGUAUCGAUACUGGACGUGGAGACACAAGCUUGUCGGCAUUCAUUACAGGUUAGUAUAUUUUUCAAUGUCAUUAUACAAUUUAACCAAGGACAAUAUGAAAAAAUGCCUACAAAGAAAGUGUCAUUCUUUUUUCACAGAGAAAAAAAAAAAAAAAAAGAGAAAGCAAAUGACACUAUAAGAACUUUCAUAAAAAAAUGCCUAUAAAAAAAGUCCAUUAUUUUAAAUUUUUUUAAAUUUAAAUCUUGUAGAGUUAUUUUACGUGGAAUUGAUUUUGGAACUUCCCUUUCGUAAUCCCACUUGGGCCAUUCCCCCGCCUCUCUCUCUCUCUCUCUCUCUCUUUUCCCUUUCCUUUUUUCUUGUUUUGUGGUUCCCUGAUGGGACAUAAGUUUGUAGUGUGAUAUAUACACAAUACAACACAUGAUACAUGAUACUAUAAUACUGUUGGUUUUGACUAUUUUUGGUAAUUUCCUAAAUAAUUGAAUUUGACUUACCUUUAGUAGUGCCCUCUGGGCUGUAACUCUGCAGUGAUCUAUGGCAUUGGACUAGAGGGCUUGAGUUUGAGCCUCCCAUUUAACUAGGUGUUGUAGGGUGGAGGGACAGGGGGCGUGGGGCAGUUGGAAUAACUGCCUCACUGUUGGAGUGAGUUCUCCAUUUUCAGGGGAAAAAAAAGAAAACUCGAAUUUGGAAAAGAUUUUCUUAAAAAAAAAGUUAUUAUAUUAAUUUAGAAUAUAAUUUAAAUUCAGAAAUGGUUGAUGAAAAAGAAGGGAUAAGAUGAUGCUGCAAGAGAACACUACAUAUGUGUUGUUAAAGGACCAUGUGAAAGAUUAUAGCUUAGGUAUAAUUAUAUCCAUAAUGAAUAUUUGGAAGGUGCUAUGCGAGUGAUUUGAUCAAUGUGCCCUUGAAGUGAAUGAAGAGUUUUACUCAAUAUAUUAAUUUCUUUUUCAAAUGUUUUUUCUUUUAGGGGGAGGACAUUUUUUAUGAGUUCACAAUACAGAAGAAUACGAAAAUGAUAUAAAAUACAAUUUAUUAGCUCACAAGUAUGUUAUCCUGGAUUUACUGAGAGAAUGGAUUCUGAAAGGUGGGUUCCAAUAAUUAUGUAUCAAUCACUUUUUCCCUUGAAAAUCUCCCUAUGGAUGGGUGUGGUGGUUGCCUUUAUAAGGUGGGGAAUUCCAAAUUCAAUGAUUUAGAAUCACUUUUAUUUGUAAAAAGGCUUCUCCCAUUUAUGAAUUGUUGAAAACAAGGACUUUAUGUGUUAAGAGUCAAAACUGAAAUAAGGGAGUUGAGGAUUUUUUCUGAUAGAAUGAUCUGAUUGUUGCUCAUUGGAUAUGGAAAAUUUGACCCUCUGAAUUUUAUGAGGCUGCAAAUUCCUUGCUACUCGUAUAUGUGCCAUUUCAAUUAGAAAUGUAAUUGAAAAUUUUGUAGACUUGCCCUUUCUAUUUGAAAGAUACCUUAUUGUAUAGUUAUUCACUUAUUCAAACUGUAAUACAAUUCAGAAUUCAUUUUGAUGUAUUUAAAAAAUAAUAUAAAGUAGAAAAUUCAGAUAACUUUCAAACCUCAAAAGCUGACAGACAGGUUAUUUUAAAAUUUAACAUAUAUGCGGGUUUGAUAAAUUCAAUGUUUUUUCUAUACUUGAUAAAUGCUAUUUAGUUGAUGAAAUGUGUAGUAUAGAUAGACUUUUGAAGGUUCUUAGGAUAUAAAUAUCCAUCUUAUGGACCUUGAUGAGUUCUGAUCAUUAUCAUGUAAAAUUUUUUCUUCCCCUUCCUUGUUGUCCCUUUUCCUUUUUCUUUCUGAUAAGAAAACGAGUCAAAUAUUGUAAUGAAAGCACCAGAAAUAGGUGCCGCGAGGUUUACAUGAUGUCUCUUAUAUGUGAUAGGCCUUCUGACAUGGGUUUGUAAUGCUAGGGACAUACAAAACCAAUUCAUUCUGUCUGCUGGGAUCCUUCUGGUGAGUUCUUGGCAUCUGUAAGUGAGGAUUCUGUCAGAGUUUGGACGCUUGGAUCAGGAAACGAAGGGGAGUGUGUUCAUGAGUUGAGUUGUAAUGGCAACAAGUUCCACUCCUGUGUUUUUCACCCAACAUAUUCAUCAUUGCUGGUCAUCGGUUGUUACCAGGCAAGUCAUUUGUCCUUUUGCUUAAAUUCCUUUAUACUUGUUUAUUGUUUACUUGAGCAUUAGUCAGCACUAUAUUUUUCUCUAUGGUAUUGCUUUAUGUGCAAAAGUAUUCAGUUAAUUUAAGAUUCUAAUAAAGAUGGCAUUAAACCUGCAUGGGUCAUACUGCCAUAUGUAGGGAGAUUUUGUCAAAUCUAAAACAGGAAUCCUUAGAUCUUUACUCAAACACCUAUGCCUACUUUUUCCCUUGUACAUUUAUUUAGUAAAUAAACUGUCAGGACCCAUCAACUACUCAAAUAUCUAUAAGCACAAUUUCCCUCUAUCUUUUCCAGCAAAUAAACUGUCAGGACCCCCCAUAGGUUUCUGCAUCCCUUUUGAAAGAUCUAAGUGGGAAAAUGAGGGCAUUGUGAAUUUAGACCAUUUAAUUUUCCUUAUAUUUCCAACAGUAGAGAUUUUCUUGAAGAGGCCAUGCAAGUCCUUGAACUUCAAAGAAUUUAAUUUCUAAUCAUUUUAGUAUUGUUAUUUGCUACAGUCUCUAGAGCUUUGGAACAUGAGCGAGAACAAGACAAUGACUCUUUCAGCUCAUGAUGGACUAAUAGCUGCCUUGGCUGUAUCAACUGUGUCUGGCUUGGUUGCUUCAGCUAGCCAUGACAAGAUUGUCAAGCUCUGGAAGUGAUUCAACUGUUUUUGUCAUGGUAAAAACUGCCUCUGCAAUUCAGGACUAGAUUUCUUUUCAGUGUUUGAUCAAAAGCUGGUCUAGUAUACAAAUCUAUUUUGGUUGAUCAUUCUGUCCGUUUUGUGUUUUGCCUUUUUGGAUCUCAACUUCAUCUCCUUGUAGUCCUGGAUAUUGACCUUGUAUUGUUGCUGUGUUAUGUCUAUCUUUUUACUCUUUGCUAACAUUGGACUUUCUAGUUACGUUUUUAGAAACGAUUGUGUAAUGAUUUGUACUCUAUAAAAAGGUAUGUGUUUUAGUUCCUGAUAGUCUUUCUAUUUUGUUUAUUCUAAUUUAUAUUGUUUCAUUUGAGACCAUGCCCUUCUGGAUACCAAACAUGGUUUUACAUUGGCUCAGCAAACUUGGGUUUUGCCUGAACUUUAUCUUGGUUCAUUCUAAGGUUUUAGCCAAAUAUGAAUUUGAUCAUCGAAUCGUAAUUUCCUGACCAAUCUCGAAACCAUGAUCAAAAUUCGAAACGAUUCUUUGUCCCCUCAAUCUCAUUCUCUUCAAGAAGAGGAAUGAAAGGGAAAGGUUACAUGGGCCCGACUGAUUCAUGAGCCAGUCAUGGGUGCUGUUGGACUGAAUCAGCUCCGAUCUGUCAUCCUAUGUGUAUCUUCAAAGGGCCCAUUAUGUUUUAGAUCUUUAUUCUCUUCAAGAUGUAUUUUCAUAUUUUGUCAGCUCUAUUUUGUUUGUGUAUCAAAAUCACUAUGUGCUCGGUUGUCGAAUGUACUUGGCUGUCAAAUGUACAGAAUCAUUUUUUCAAUUUAUUUUUGCCAUAGUUUCAAAUGGGUUCAUUGGACAGGACAUGGUUGUCAUGUUGUGCAAGGAAAUGUUUUCUUGUUGGUAGUUAGAAACCAGAAUUGAGCCUAUAGGCAACAGACUAAGUUUUCCUCCAGCAUUUAUUUCAUUGAUGGCCAUGGGCUGCGAGCAAAAAGUACCACCCUUGAUAGGAUUUGCCCAACAAUUAUAUCUGUACCACUUCUGCAGAUUGGGUAAAACAAGGUCUCCUGCACUGGAGUCUUCUGCUAUCAGAAACUAACACACUGCUUAACAUUAGAAACUGGUUAGAAUUUUUACCCGCGAUCUGCAUUUGCAUUCUGAACAUUGUUGUUUUAUGCUUGAAUUGUGAAAAACCCUCGGAAUUUCUAACGUAAAAACAUGGAUGUUCUGAAAGGAUGGUUGUGACUGAUGAGAGUCCCUUUUUCAGUCCUCUUGAUUAGUUGGAGUUGAAAUAAAAUGGAAAGUAAGAUCUUGGCAUUGUCCUCCCUGUUCAAACAUGGACAGUCACUGGGUAUCAUCAUCACCAAUCUGUCUCAUUAUCAGUUUCUUUAGUUUAAACCAUGAGACUAGAAUCAAUGUUCGGAACCCGCAGGUGGGUUAUCAAGAUUAAUCAUGGGGACCAUUGGUAGAUGAUAUAAUCAAUCAAAGCAUUCUUUCCCCUUCCCGUUUCCUCUCUUCUCAAGCAAACAUCAUAUGAUUACAGUAGGAGUAGGUAAAACAUUCAAGAUAAUGCAAAGGCUAGCUCCUAAAAUCCACUCUACCUGGGUCAUUGAUGAUAACACCUGGGCUGAAGCAGAAAAUGAAAUGAUACAUGCAUCCUCUUCAGGAAUGUCCUUGUGUGAGGUGACCAUUUGUUUUUCUUUGCUUGGGAGUUGGAAUCCAUGUACCCAAUAUCUUCUAUACUUUUUGUUGGGGUCUCCAUCUUCUCUGAUUGAGUAAAAUAUCCUGCUUUGAUUUGAGGGGAGGAAAAAAAAAUGAAGAAAUUAUUUUUAAUUCAUUUUGAUUACCUAUUGUCAUGGUGUUGGUGACUGAAUGAGGUACAAAAUUAUUAAAAUAAGCAGAAUUCAUUUUUAUAAUACUUUCUUCGAUUUUUUUUUUUUUUUUUUGGUUGCAAUCAUCACUUAAAAAAUGUUGUGCAGUUGAGAAAUAAUGAAAUUUAUUCAAUAUAAAUAAAGAUCCAUUUUAUAAUUGUGUUAGAAUGAUUUGAUAUACGUUUCAAUUAAUAAACGAGAUAAAUUAGAUUGUGUAUGAAUUGAUACAAAUAACUCAUUAAUAUGUCUUAAUUAAUAAAUGAGAUAAGUUAGAUGGUGUAUAAAUUGAUAUUGAUAAUCUGUAAAUAUGGUUUCAACUUGUUAAAUGUCUUGGUACGAUUUUAACUUCUUAAAUUUGUUAAUAUGUUUAUAGUCCAUUUAACUUAUUUAAAAUGCUUUGUUUCUUUUAACUUUGAAGUUCAACUUUUAAAAUUUUAAUUAAUUCAAUUGCUUAUAAAUAAAUUUUUUAACUUUACACUGGUUAUCAUUUUCAAUGUUUUUAGAACUUGACCAGUUAUUGAAUCACAAAAGUUGUCGGUUCGGUGGUUGAAUUAUGAUUAAAUUGAUAAUGUCAUAAAUAUAUAAUUUAUAUAUUAUUAAAAUUAAAAAUAAUUAUAUAUAUUUUAAAAUAUAUAUAAAUAAAUUAAAAAAAUCAAUAAUAUUUAUUUUUUAUCUUAUGUAUGAGUAUAAAUGUAUUAAUAUUUUAAAUUUUAAUAAAUAAAAUAUGUAUAAUAUUUAAAUGUGAACAUAUUAAAAAUGAAAAACAAUUUAAUUAUUCAAUUUUAACUAAUUUUAUUUAAUUUUAAAAAAUUUAUAUUAUUUUUAUGUGAUAUUAUAAUUUUUUUUAUUAAACAUUAUAUUUCUUUAUAAAAAAUAACAAGUUGGAUGUAGUCGAGUGGUGUGUUAGCUCAUUUAAUGAGUUUGAGGUUGAGGUUUAAAUCUUUUAAGGAAUUGGAGAGGGUUGGGUUUAUUUUAAUGAAUAAAAGGAGGGGUCAUUAAAUCGUUUGGUUUUCUCUGAGGGUUUGUUUGAAUGGAUAAAAGAAGCAUUGAACAGUUUGAUUUGCCAAUUAUUGUCCGAUUCAUUGGUGCAAUUCAGGCAGUUCGUGGUCGGUUCAAUGGCUAAGUAGUUCAUAAGAUCAAAUUGAAUCGAAAGGGUUAUCGAUCGGUUGUUGGAUUGAUCCAUCCAGUCUAGUUUUCAAAAUAUUGAUUAUUUUAUUUAUAAUAAAAUCAAUAAAAUUUUACUAGAUUAGUUAUUUAAUUUUUUUUUUUACUAUAUGAGAAUUUUUAAUUUUUUUAAUUUUAUAUAUAUAUAUAUAGUCAUAAAUGAGUUGACAUGAUGAAAUAAAUUUAUUGAAGUUAUAGAGGGGUCACGAUUAAGUAAACGAGUUAUAUAAUUUGACACAAUUAUAAACAAUAUUACCCUUAACAUAAACUCACUAAAAUUUAUAUAGUUUUGAAUUGUAUUACUAUAUCAUGUUAAAAUUAUCGUCCCUAAAUUUUAACCUUAACAUUAAUUCGCUCUUUGAGAUUUGAGAAAGAAUACAAAGGUGACCUUAACCAUGAAAUAAACCAAAAUGAAGCAUUUUUCAAUGAGAAAACAUAAUCCCCCACCCAACAUAAUUUGGACUUUGGCCUCUCCCUCUCCUGUUUUAUCAUAUCAAGGGCGUUUGAUGAGGUCUUAUAAUUGUUUAGAAAGAAAUAUUCUCUUCAAAUUGAUAAAUGAUAGUUUUUUUUCCAUCAUUCUUUCAUUCGUUCAUAUACAGAGUAUAUAUAGAGGAUAAUCACCAUUCUAAAAAUGGAAAAAAAUGAUACAAGCAAAUAACAACUAAUAUCCUAAUAUCUCAACUUUCCUAAUAUCUCGAUAUUCCUAAUAUCUCAAUAUUUCUAAUAUCUCAAUAUUCAUAAUAUCUCAAUUUUCUUAAUAUCUAAAUAUUCCUAAUAUUUCAACACUAAAUGAUAUAACGAAACAUUCCUAAUAUCUCAACAUAUUCAAGGGUUCAUCAAAUCAUCCAUGACCUCUAAUCCUCGAGAAAAAUGGAUAUGAAUCUUAAUGGGCACCUAAUGAAUGAGUGUUGGACCCACUGGAUCUCACACUCCACACCCUGCAUUCUCUUGUGGAACCGAAUUUCCUCAGCACGGGGCUAUGAAUCUGAAUUCAAGCCCACUCUUCAAACUGUGACAGUUUUGUGAAUGAUGCAAUGAUUUAGAAGUAGCAGUUCCCUGUGUUUAAUAAAUUUUACUCCUAACCGAUCCCAUCUGCCCUUUUCAUCACCGGGCUCACUUGCAUUGCCUGUAGUUUGCAUGGCGGUUUGGCCCUUCCACUUGAGCACCAAUCAAUUUCUACACUGGAUUGAAAGCAUAGUUUUAACUGCUCAGGUGAUAAAAAGAACAUAUCAAGGAGAGAAGUGCCGACGUUAAACCUUUUUCUCUCUUUCCCUUCUCGGUCAGGGAGUGGGGUGGGGUAGAAUGAGGGAGGUGGUAUUUCAGACAUGUCAGAGCUGGUCUGGAAUAUAAACUUCGUAGGAUUACAUUAUUGUUUUUUGAUAGGCUUCUUAGGAUUACAGUUUUGAUUGGGUCCUAAUAUAAUUCCCUGGCCUUGAUGCAUUUUAAGGCUUCAAAAGACCAGACUGGGAGAAAGUGAAAGCAGCCUGUUACAUCUUCUGGUCCAACCAAUAAGCUCAGGACUGCAAGCGCAGCAGGACCCUCCCAAGCUCAGCACACAGUGGUUGCUCUUCAAAACCAUUGAUGAUGUUGGGCACUGAUGGUACUGGAACUCUUACAUAACCGUCGUAUCAGUUGGUGAGCAAAGUCUUUACCUUCUUGUAUUUACAGAAGGGAUUUUUUAUUUACUCGCAUGAAUUCUCAAUGGUAUUCCUUUUUGGCAGUGGGAUGAUAAAAAUCUUGAAUUGCAGGCUGAUAUGGAUCGUUUUGUGGGAGACGGUUCCCUUGAUGAUAAUGUCGAGUCUUUUUUAUCUCAUGAUGAUACAGAAGUAAAGGUGAGGUGGUGGCCAGAUUUCUGGACCGUUUAGGAAAAUCUAACAGGCCUUAUAAGAGACCUGGGUCUUUUUCCAAAUGUGACUGAAAAAAGAGCUUCUAGCUCCCUCAGUCAUUCCCUCUGCAUUUCUGUACGUAUCAGCAGAACUGUCAAGAUAGUCUCUCCAUCGUUGAGGAGUUCCUCCUAACUAACAUUUUUCACUCUGCAACAAGUAACAACCUCUGUAUGUAAAAAGAAAACAUUGACGGUCUUAAUUGCUGCUUACACAUUUCGAUGUUUCUACAUACUGCUAUUUAGCUCCCAUGAUUAGUAGGCUUCCAAAAUUGGCUGACUAAAAAUAUUUCUGACUCUCUUCUCCUGAUUGAUGGAUAAUGUCUCAGGAGGCAUUUGAAUAUCAACGUAGCUCCUCUUUCCUAUUCACCUUGGUUGUGAACUUUUGAAGCUGAAUCAUUAUAGAGGCUCGAAGCAUGAAUUGAAGCUCUUUCUGUUGGAAGAAUAUUUUGGUGUCUCAUAUCCAUUUUGUGAUGAUGGCAUCCUAGUUUUUGAUAUUUUUUUUAUUAUCUGGUGUUUGAAAACCAGUAGGCCCGAAUCUUGGUGAAAUCCGAAGGGAAGGACUUACCUGAAUCGCUACAGGUGGUGGUAGGCUUUUCUUGUUUUGCCGUUCGGUAGUGGUGGAUGUUAGAACUCAACCAAGAUGAAUACCCUAAUUUCAUAUAUACUGGAAUAAUCUUGUUAAAAUCAACCAAAAUGAAUACCCUAAUUUCAUAUAUACUGGAAUAGUUAACAAGGUAAAUACCCUAAUUUCAUAUAUAUUGGAAUAUUUAACAGGGUGAAUACCCUAAUUUCAUAUAUACUGGAAUCUCCUGAUUAAAAACAAUGAGUAGAAAAAUAAUAGCGGAAACAUACCUGAAUCCAUUGAAGGAGAAACCUUAUAGGAAGAAAACCCUUUGAGAUGGUCUUCCAAUUCUAGCCACUAGAUUCUGUGUCAAUUUUUCUCUGAGAGGAUUUUCAGAAAUUGGAAUGCGUAGUCGUAGAAUGGGGACCAUAACCCUAUUUAUAAACUGCUAGGGCAGUUUUAAUUUUAUCACAAUUAUAUUUCUGCCCCUCAUAGAAAUAAUAAUUGUCUAAUGGUAUCUACACAAUAAUCUCAUGACAAUUAUACCCUUAAGCCAAUUAAUCAAUUAUUAAUUAGAUCACUAUAUUUAGGCUUAAUUAAAUGAUAGCACACACAUUUUAAUUAUUUACAUGUGUGGCCCAAAUUAUAGAUUAAUUACAAAAAUUAAUCUAACAAUCUCCCACUGGGCCACAUGCAUAUGUAAUCAAAUAAAUGUGCUUAACCUUAUGAGCUCAAAAUUUGCUAUCAUGUCCUUAGGGUANNNNNNNNNNNNNNNNNNNNNNNNNNNNNNNNNNNNNNNNNNNNNNNNNNNNNNNNNNNNNNNNNNNNNNNNNNNNNNNNNNNNNNNNNNNNNNNNNNNNAUUAUUUACAUGUGUGGCCCAAAUUAUAGAUUAAUUACAAAAAUUAAUCUAACAAUCUCCCACUGGGCCACAUGCAUAUGUAAUCAAAUAAAUGUGCUUAACCUUAUGAGCUCAAAAUUUGCUAUCAUGUCCUUAGGGUAUAUCCGAACAAUCUCGUCCAUUAACUAUACUGACAUAGGAUCAAGGUGGCCUUUGUUACAUCAAUCGUUACUAGACCAAUCAAUGGUCACAUAUAUCUGCACAACUAAAUGACAUAGAUCAAUCAUGAGUGCAUAGCAUGGAAAUUACAUGCAAUGUGAUCUAUUCAUGCCUAUUUCCAACUGGUCCAACUUAACUUUAUUGAGAUCAAAUCUUUAGCAUAAUUUAACAGAGUGUAAUAAAAUAAAUACUUUAUUUCUGCAGAACACAAUCCAAAUGUAUAGAUAAAGUCUAAACAUAACAUAGAGCAAUAUACAAUGAAUAAUACAAACUCCCACUAAAUUUGGAUAUCCUCAAAUGAGGCAACACCCAUAUGAGCAGUGUGCUCAUGAAAGACCUUGGGUGGUAAUCCCUUUGUAAGCGGAUCCGCUAUCAUGGAGUUUGUUCCAAUAUGCUCUAUGGAUAUCUGUCCACUCUGUACCUUUUCUUUUACAACUAGGAACUUGAUAUCAAUGUAUUUUGAUUUUGUAGAACUCCUGUUGUUAUUGGAAUAUAAAACUGCUGAUUUAUUGUCACAAAAUAUCUUCAGUGGUCUUUCAAUACCAUCCAAAACACGCAGCCCAGUGACAAAAUUUCGUAGCCAUAUUCCUUGAUUGGAUGCCUCAUAACAUGCUACAAACUCUGCUUCCAUGGUGGAUGAAGUUACGAGUGUCUGUUUGGCAGACCUCCAUGAAAUUGCUCCACCAGCCAACAGAUAAAUAUAGCCUGAUGUGGAUCUUCUGCUGUCUUGGCAUCCAGCAAAGUCGGAGUCGGAAUACCCAAUCAACUCUAACUGAUCCAAUCUCCUAUAUGUAAGCAUGUACUCUUUUGUUCUCUGUAAAUAUCUCAUAACCCUCUUGGCUGCUUUCCAAUGAUCCAUUCCAGGGUUACUUAGAUAUCUGCCUAACAUGCCAACAAUGUACGCAAUAUCCGGACGUGUACAUACCUGAGCAUACAUUAGACUCCCCACAGCUGAAGCGUAAGGAAUCUUCUGCAUUUCUUGACUUUCUAAACUAUUUUUGGGGCAUUGAUUAAGACUGAAUUUGUCUCCUUUAGCGACAGGGGUAUCACCUGGUUUGCUAUUUUGCAUGCCAUACCUUUGGAGGACUUUAUCAAUAUAGGUCCUUUGUGACAAUCCUAAAAUACCCCUAGAACGAUCUCGGUGUAUCUGGAUUCCUAAGACAAAGGAGGCAUCACCAAGAUCUUUCAUCUCAAAAUGUUUUGAUAAAAAUCUCUUGGUGUCGUGCAAUAUGCUGAUAUCAUUUGUGGCUAGCAAUAUGUCAUCGACAUAUAAAACCAGGAAAAUAUACUUACUCCCACUGAAUUUGUGAUACACACAUUCAUCCAUAAGAUUUGCCUCAAAACCAUAUGAGACAAUAAUUUGAUGAAACUUGAAGUACCACUGACGAGAAGCUUGCUUGAGCCCAUAAAUGGAUUUAGUUAAUUUACAAACCAUAUUCUUUGAGUCUUCGGACACAAAAUUUUCUGGUUGUACCAUAUAAAUUGUUUCAUCAAUGUCACCAUUGAGAAACGCUGUUUUAACAUCCAUUUGAUGUAACUCAAGAUCAUAAUGUGCAACUAGUACCAUGAUUAUCCUGAAAGAGUCCUUCGUAGAAACUGGAGAGAAGGUCUCUUUGAAGUCAAUUCCUUCUUUUUGAGUAAAGCCUUUAGCUACAAGACGUGCUUUAUAUCUUUCUACAUUACCAUUUGAAUCCCGCUUGGUUUUAAAUAUCCAUUUACAACCAAUGGGCUUCGUACCAACUGGUAAUGGGACAAGUUCCCAAACUUUAUUGUCUUGCAUAGAUUUGUACUCUUCAUUCAUGGCUUCAAUCCAUUUAUGAGAGUUGGAACUUUUCAUGGCUUGUUGGAAGUUGAUUGGAUCAUCUUCCAUCAUUCCACUUUCUACCUCACGUUCCUGGAGAUAUACGAUAUAAUCGUCCGAAAUUGCAUUUCUCCUCUCUCUAGUGGAUCUCCUUAAUGGCAUAUUUUCUUGAGGUUGUUGAGUUUGUUCUUCAGGAGCAAUGUCCUCAUUUGCAAUUAAGGGUUGAACAAUAUUGUCUGUUGGUUGAGGAUCCAAAUUUACUUCUUGAUCAAUGAUAGGUAGUGAAACCUGUACAUUAUCAAAAGCAAUAGUAGAUCCCUCUUCCUCCUCAAAGACAAUAUUCCUAGCCUGAUUUCUCCCCCCAAACUCAACAUCCUCAAAAAAUGUUGCAGUUCCCGUCUAAAAAAUUGACCUAAUAGCAGGAUCAUAAAAUUUAAAACCCCUUGAUCGCUCUGCAUAGCCAAUAAAGUAGCUACUAACUGUUUUAGAGUCCAAUUUCUUUUCAUGAGGCUUAUAAGGUCUCGCUUCAGCUGGACAUCCCCAAAUAUGAAAAUGCUUUAAACUGGGCUUUCGACCCGUCCAAAGCUCAUAAGGCGUUUUAGCAGCCGCUUUAGUUGGCACCCGAUUUAGGAUAUAAGCUGCCGUUUUGAGUGCUUCACCCCAGAGUUUUUCGGGUAAAGUAGAAUGACUAAUCAUACUCCUUACCAUGUCCUUAAGGGUUCGGUUUCGUCUUUCUGCUACACCAUUCAUGCUAGGUGAUCCUGGCAUGGUGUAUUGAGGGACGAUCCCACAUUCCUCUAGGUAUUUAGCAAAUGGUCCUGGACGUUGUUCACCUGAUCCGUCAUAUCUACCAUAGUAUUCACCACCACGGUCAGAUCUGACGCUCUUUAUUCUUUUGUUGAGUUGUAACUCAACUUCUGCUUUAAAUGUUUUGAACACGUCCAAUGAUUGUGAUUUCUCAUGUAUAAGAAAUAGGUAGUCAUAUCUUGAAUAGUCGUCUAUGAAUGUUAUAAAGUACUGUUGACCAUUCCAAGAUGCCGUAGGGUAUGGUCCACAGAUAUCUGUAUGAAUUAAUUCUAAGACGUCUGUAGCUCUAUUGGCACCUAAUUUCUUUGUUUUGGUCUGUUUUCCUUUAAUACACUCAACACAAAUAUCAAAAUCUGAAAAGUCAAGUGAAUCCAAAAUCCCAUCGGACACAAGUCGCUCAACUCUAGAUUUAGAGAUAUGACCUAGGCGUUUGUGCCACAAUGAGGCCGAAUUAUCUUUAUUCAAUUUACGUUUUGUACCUCGUGAUUCCACAUGCAAGGUUUCAUUAUAGGACGGAACAGUUUCCAACAAAUAUAGAUUAUCAUAAACAUUAAGUAAACCGGUUCCUACAGCAUUUGAAUUAAUAGAUAAUGUAAAUUUAUUGUUUCCAAAUGAACAACAAUAACCUGAUUUGUCCAAAACAGAAACUGAAAUUAAAUUCCGUCUGAAAGACGGUACAAUAAAAGUAUCUAUUAAAUCCAAAAAAUAACCAGAUUUCAAUAAUAAUCUAAAGUGCCCUAUUGCCUCUACUUCUACCGACUGACCGUCUCCGACAUAGAUGCAUCUUUCAGCAUCACUUGGUUUUCGGUAACUCAGACAACCCUGCAUAGAAACACAAAUGUGAGUAGUAGCACCAGAAUCUAACCACCAUGUGUUUCUAGAUACUGAAGCUAAAUUAACUUCAGAACAGACCAAAGUAAGAAACAUACCUUUCUUAACACGCCAAGCAGCAUACUUGGUACAUUCCUUCUUAGUAUGUCCAGGCUUAUUACAGAAGAAACAUGUUACCUCAACUUUCUGUUUCUUUUGUUCUGGACCAUUAGAAGCAGCAACCUUAUUAUCCUUAUUCUUUCGUUUGCCCUUAUCCUUGGAAAUGCUAGCCAGAUGAGCACUUUCGGUCUUGUCUUGCUUCAAUCUCUCUUCCUCUUGCACACAGAAUGAAAUGAGCUCAUUAAGAGUCCAUUUAUCCUUUUGACAGUUAUAACUGACCUUGAAUUGAUUAAAUUGUGCAGGAAGAGAUAUGAGAACCAAAUGCACGAGUAAAUCAUCAGAUAACUCGAGUUUCAAAGCCUUAAGUUUUGAAGCAAGAUGAGACAUCUCCAUGAUGUACUCCCGAACAUUACCCUUGCCUUUAUACUUCAUUGAAAUCAAGCUUGCUAAAAGCGUGCUCGUUUCAGCCUUAUCGUUUUUGGCAAAACGUUUCUGAAUUUCCGCAAGGAAGUCACUGGCAUUAGUAACCUCAUCGGUUACCGCACCCCUGAAAGCUUCUGGAAUGCCGCGCUUCAUGAUCAUAAGACUUAGCCUAUUUGAACGUUCCCACUUACCCCAAUAAACCUCAUCCUCUUGAGUACUUUGCUCAUUGAGUUCAUCAGGUUUGGGCAUUCUCAAGGCCAAGUCUAUAUCCAUGCAGCCUAAGAGAAUCAUCAUAUUCUCUUUCCAGUCCUUAAAAUUAGUCCCAUUUAACAUAGGGACAUUAUUGAUGUUGACAGAUAUAGAAGUAGUUGAUAUAAAAGCUGAAUUGAGAACAAAAUAAAAUGAAUCAAAUAAACCAUCAUGCUCACAUAAAAUAAGCAAUUAAACACAUAAUCUUUAAAUUUAAAAGCAAAUUAUGACAUUUCAAGAUACCUAGCACAACAUUAAUAUCAAGUCUUUGGACAGUAAUAUUAACUGUAAGUGGUACUCUUGUUGUAGUGAUCAAACAUUGAUGAUAAGUUAUGUCAAAUAAUAAAUCUAUCUUUGGAUUGAUUUAUUAUUUAAGUUACCUUUAUAAUCAUCACAUAUUUAUCACCACAAGUAUGUAUGCAAUUUGACCAAAUAUUAACUUUCCUUUGGGCCAGUCAAUACCCGCAUGAAUCACAUACACACAAAUAUCUAACACCCCGAACAGACUAAUCUACACGGAAGAUGUCACUUUGGUGAUUUUCCGCUUUAAUUAGCCUAUUUAAAAUGCUAGAUCAAUAACUUAAAUAUUAAUAUCAUAAAAUGCUAUUAAAUAAUAAUAAUAAUAAUAAUACUAAUAAUAAUAAAAAAUUUAUCAACUCAAUAUUUCAUAAAUCUUAAUCCAUUGACAUAUAUAUAUAUAUAUAUAUAUAUAUAUUAAAAUAAUAACUCAAAGAAUUAAUCAAGGAGUAGGCUCUGAUACCACUUGUUAGAACUCAACCAAGAUGAAUACCCUAAUUUCAUAUAUACUGGAAUAGUCUUGUUAAAAUCAACCAAAAUGAAUACCCUAAUUUCAUAUAUACUGGAAUAGUUAACAAGGUAAAUACCCUAAUUUCAUAUAUAUUGGAAUAUUUAACAGGGUGAAUACCCUAAUUUCAUAUAUACUGGAAUCUCCUGAUUAAAAACAAUGAGUAGAAAAAUAAUAGCGGAAGCAUACCUGAAUCCAUUGAAGGAGAAACCUUAUAGGAAGAAAACCCUUUGAGAUGGUCUUCCAAUUCUAGCCACUAAAUUCUGUGUCAAUUUUUCUCUGAGAGGAUUUUCAGAAAUUGGAAUGCGUAGUCGUAGAAUGGGGACCAUAACCCUAUUUAUAAACUGCUAGGGCAGUUUUAAUUUUAUCACAAUUAUAUUUCUGCCCCUCAUAGAAAUAAUAAUUGUCUAAUGGUAUCUACACAAUAAUCUCAUGACAAUUAUACUCUUAAGCCAAUUAAUCAAUUAUUAAUUAGAUCACUAUAUUUAGGCUUAAUUAAAUGAUAGCACACACAUUUUAAUUAUUUACAUGUGUGGCCCAAAUUAUAGAUUAAUUACAAAAAUUAAUCUAACAGUGGAAGCUCCACUCGCCCUGGGUUUCUCAUGUGGUUCCGAUGAAUGGAUCGUGCGGGAGCUUUGGGCGGGAGGUUAGGGAUGAAGAAGAGGUAAGUUCAAGCGCUGGUGUAAGCGUGAGGGAGAGGUAGCCGCUUCUGCAGACUGCUGAGAUUCAUGCGUUGAUUGAGUGUGGAGGAAGGACGGGGGUUGCAGGCGGUGCUGGUGGUGGGCCAGCAAAAGUGACUGUGGAUGGGACAGAGAAAGGUGGUGGGCCAGAUGGCAGUGUUCGAGGUGUGGGAGGGUGAUGAGUUGGGCCUAGGUUUGGAUUUAGACUAUGAAGCCUCCGGACUGUGCCUCUUGGUCUGUGGGCAAAGAAGGUGCCGGCCGAUGGAACCACGUGCGUCGAGGGGAUGGCAGCAAGCCGAUCGGGGAUCACCGACUUCGCUGAUGCAUCCAGGUACCCCGUUCUUCACUCUCGUCCUCUCUUUUCUUUGGGCUUACGGGGUCUCUCUUGCUCUACUCCUUUCUUGUUGCCCUCAAGAGGAAGAGGGAGAGCCGUCAGAAGGGUGGUCCUCCAGUUGCCUGGCUAAGUUUAGCCGGUGCUUAGGCAUGCUGACAGAGGAUUUUGAAGAGAAGAUUCUGUACCUUCUUGGGAGGAUGAAAGCGAGAAUUGACCAAAGAGGUCAGGAAGGGGCUAAAAGAAGGGCGAAUUCCUUGUCUUCAAGGUUCGGAAGGGAACUCAAGAAGCUUGAAUGGGGCAGUGACAUAUAAGGGUUGAGGAGCGGGUUGGGCAAAUAUGGUGGGGCCUCUGUUUCGGGAUGCGGAUGAAGAUAAGAAUCCUGUCAUGGAAUGUGAGAGGGGCGAAUGAUAGUGGCAAAAGGAAGAUUGUUGAAUCCUUGGUCUAGUCGCAAAGGAUGGAUGUGGUUUGUUUCCUGGAAACCAAAAUUCAUGAGAUGUCUGGUGGGCUUGUACGUGGCCUUGGGUGGGCAGAUGUUUAGAGUGGAGUGCCCUCAAUUGAGGGGUGCAGCAGGAGGUAUUCUGGUGUUCUGGGAUAACAGGGUGCUUGAAUUAGUUGGAUUGGAAGCGGGGAUGUACUUGAUUUCGUGCCAUUUUAAGAAUUGCGAGGAUAGUGGUUUCUGGAUUUUUAUUGAGGGUGUAUGGCCUGGUGUGCAGAGGAACAGGGAGAGUUUCUGGGAUGAGCUUGGGGUAAUUAGGGGUUGAUGGAGUGAUCCUUGGUGAAUCCAGGUGAUUUCAAGCGUAGUAGGGGAGGAGGCCUUUACCCAGCCAUGAGGAGAUUUUCAAAGGUCAAAGAGGAGUUGGAGUUGAGAGACAUCCCUUUGCUAGGGGUCCUUCACCUGGAGUGGUGGGUUGAAUAAUCAGUCCUAGUCUAGAUUUGAUUGGUUGUUGGUGUCAAAAGAUUGGGAUAACCUUUUCAACGGGACCUUGCAGUGUGUUUUACCCAGACCAGUAUCUGAUCAUUUUCCCAAUCUGUUAGAUGAGGGAGGCCUGAGGAGGGGACGUUCAUAUUUGAGAAUAUGUGGUUGGAGUAGGAGGGUUUCAAAGAAUUGCUGAAAAAUUGGUGGGUGGGUCUUAAUUUUAAUGGGUCCCAUAGUUUUGUUUUGACUGCCAAACUGAGAGCUCUAAAAGCAGUCUUGAAAUCCUGGAAUAAAGAUGUUUUUGGCAUUAUUGAAGCUAGAAAGGGAGCGAUGCUCAAUCAAGUGGCGUUUUGGGACAAAAGGAGAGGGUUACAACACUGUCCAUGGAAGAGGUUGAAGCUAGAAAUGAGGCAAGGAAGGAUUAUAAAAAGUGGGUUCUUAGGGAGGAAAUUGCGUGGAGGUAGAAAUCAAGGGAAGUGUGGUUGAAGGAGGGUGACAUUAACACCAGUUUUUUUCCAUAAGAUGACAAAUGCCCACAAAAGGAGAAACUGGAUGGCCAAGGUUUAAAGUGAAUGGUAGUUGGCUUAAUGAGGAGAAUGAAAUAAAAGAUGGUGCGGUUGGGGCUUUUCGGAACCUCUUGACCGAGGUAGAAGAGUGGAGACCCAUUAUAGGUGGUUUGUCUUUUUAGUGUCUAGAAGACUAAGGCUGCAAGGCUAGAGCAUCCAUUGGUUUUCACUGCUCUUUUAGAUCUAGGCAAGGAGAAAGUGCCAGGUCCAGAUGGGUAUACUACGACAUUUUGGCUUUUUAGUUGGGAGUUUGUGAAGGAAGAGGUGAUGAUGGGAUUUUUUAGCGAGUUCUAUGAGGAAGGCAGAUUUGUUAAGUUCUUGAAUGCCACUUUUCUGGUUCUAAUUCUGAAGAAAGGUGGUGUUGAAGACUUGAGAGAUUUUAGGCCAAUUAGCCUAUUGGGCAGCCUCUAUUAGCUGUGGGGCUAGGUUUUAGUCAAUAAACUUAAGAAGGUAAUGGACAAAGUGAUCACUGAAUCCCAAAAUGCAUUUGUUAAGGGGAGACAAAUUUUGGAUGCAUUUUUGAUUGCUAAUGAGGUUGUAGACUUAAGAUUGUAAAACAAUGAAUGUGGUGUUCUUUGUAAGCUUGAGAAGGUGUAUGAUAAUGUAAACUAGAAUUUCUUGCUUUCAGUGUUAAGAAAGAUGGGAUUUGGGAAGAAAUGGAUUAAAUAGAUAGAAUAGUGUAUCUCAAAAGCAGAGUUCUCUGUUCUUGUCAAUGGAUUCCUAAUCGGUUUUUUUCAAAGCUCUAGGGGCUUGAGAUAAGGGGACCCUUUCUCUCCCUAUUUAUUUGUGAUUGCUAUAGAAGUUUUUAGCUGUCUCUUGAAGAGGUCGUAGAGUGGUGGCUAUUUGGGUGAUGGGUGAGGGGUAGGGGAGGGGAUGAGAUUCAGAUCUCUCAUUUAUUAUUUAUUGAUGAUACUCUUGUGUUUUGUGAGGCAUCACAGGAUCAAAUGACUUAUUUGAGUUGACUAUUUAUGUGGUUCAAGGCCAAUUAUAGAUUGAGAAUUAACUUGGAAAAAAGUGAGUUAAUUCGUGUGGGGUGGGUUUGCAACAUAGAUGAAUUGGUCAUGGAGUUAGGUUGUAAGGUGGGCAGUGUGGUCUUGCAUUUUUCAUUACCGGGAUGUUAACUUAUAUGGGUCAAGGGCAAAAUGAGGGGUCUACAAUGGUCUUUCCUCUUUUUACUUAGGUCUUCCUUUGGAGGCUUUCUCACUCUAAUUCGAAGUACUCUUUCUAGUAUGCCCAUCUAUUUUAUUUCUCUCUUUUGCAUGUCAAAGCAGAUUAGACUAAGGUUGGAGAAAAUUUAGAGGGAUUUUCUUUAAGGUGGUGGGGCUCCUGUGCAGAAACUUCAUUAAGAUGGAAAAUGGUAUGUUCAAAGAGAAAGAAAGGGGGCUUGGGUGUGAGAUGUCUAUUAACAAUGAACAAAGCCCUUACUUAUCAAAAAAAAAAAACAAUGAACAAAGCCCUACUUUGCAAGUGGAGCUGACGUUUUGCCAAUGAAAGAGAGGCACUUUGGAAGCAAGUUAUUAGUUAGAAGUAUGGUGAAGAUGAAGGGGGGUGGCAAUCUUGUGAGGUGAGAGAUAGGUAUGGUGUUGGCCUUUGGAAAGCCAUAAGAAAGUAGUGAGAUCUUUUAAGUAGUAGAUUGUUUCUCUUAGUGGAAAAUAAUCAGAGAGUGAGAUUUUGGAAGGACAAGUGAUGUGGAGAUGAGCCACUUUGUGUUUCCUUCCUUUCCUUAUCUGCUUAGCCAUAUCUAAUGAAGCUUGGGUGGCAAAUGCUUGGAACUUGGAAGGUAAAAGGGGUGAAUGGACUCCUUGGUUCUCUAGGCCCUUUAAUGAUUGAGAUAAUGAUUGAGAAGUGGAAAGUGUGGAGCGCUUUCUGAUGAAGCUCCAAGCAAACAGGGUGUAUAGGGAUGUGGAAGGUAGGGUGAUUUGGACGGUUUUGAGAAUCCAGAACUUUUCGGUUAAAUCUCUCCAUUUUGUUUUGGAGCCCGGUGACUGUCUAUUGUUCCCGAGAAGUAUCAUUUGGAGAUCUUGUGUGCUACCUAAGAUGGCUUUUUUCGCGUGGGAGGCAACAUGAGGGAAAACUUUAACUUUGGAUCAGGUCCAAAGAAGGGGAUUUUCUUUAGCAAACAAAUGUUUUCUUUGCCACUUUGAAGAAAAAACUAUUGAUCACAUUUUUUUUCACUGUGCAAAGAUGUGGAUUCAAAGGUAACUACUUUUUUCUUUCUUUGGGGUGACUUAGGUUAUUUUCUAUUUGGUUAAGGAGACACUCCUUGGGUGGCAUGGUUCCUUUAUGGGUAAAAUCCGCAAAAAGUCUUAGAAGGUAGCCCCUUUAUGUAUCUUUUGGACGGUGUGGAAAGAAAGGAAUCUACUAGCAUUUGAUAAUGCGGAGUUCUUGGUCCAAAGGAUGAAAAAUUCUUUUGUUUGUAAUUUGUGGUCUUGGUCUAGGGUGUCUAUACAUAUGAGCUCUAUUUCUCUUGUUAACUUUAUUGAUUGACUAGGUUUUGAGUGAGGAUAGGUAAUGUUUUUUGUUUUUCUCCCUAUUUCACUUGGGUGAGCCUUUGGGUGGCCGGCAUAUACUUCCUUUAUACUUUAGGAUGCUGUCUUGGUGUUUCCCUUUUUUUUUUUUUUUUUACAUAUAUAUAUACUUUCUAAUCUUACCUAUAUAUAAAAAAAUUUAUAGUUUUGAUAGGUUUUCUUUAUCGGGGGUUUUCAAAAUAAUCUUAUUGUUAGUAGUUAAAAAGUCCACCAUUUCUUUUUUGUAGGCAAAUGAGAAUUAGUAUUAGUAGUGCCUAAGAGGAGACAUGCCAAACUACACACGAUGUAUAAAGUAGACGCCUAAUUUAAGUGAGACGAGGUCAACAAAAAGGCACCCUUUCCUUACUUGAAGCUUAGCUAAUCUAUAAGAUUUAUCAGACAUUGAUUGGUUCUCUAUGUAUGCACUAACUCAAUUCACAGAAGUAUACAUGAAAUCAGAUUUGAUUGCUUGGUCAAAUUACUCAAUAUCAUUAAAUAACCUUCUAUUCCUUAACUUGCCAAGAGUCUAAAACAAGUACAAUGGAGCAGCUCUCCUAGUUUUUUUUUUUCUGCUUCUUGCCUGCAAAAGACUCGUGCCACCCCAAAAGGUUCUCUUUCACAUAAGAGUGCAUUACCCAAACCUCUCCAAAGAGAGAAUAUCAAUUGCCCCAACAUUCUAGCUUUGGAACAGUGAAGUAGCAGAUGGUCCAUUGUUUCCUCUUCACCUUUGUACAAAAAACACCUAUUUGACAAAUUCCAUCCCCUCCUUUGGGCUGAUCAAGUGUUAGAAUUCUGCCCUAAGUUGCUUCCCUAGUAAAGAAACCUACCUUCAUAGGUGCCCACGUACUCCACACUACACCCUUUGGGAAAGGCUUCCAAUCUCCCAUUGUUAAACAUGCAUAUAGAGACCUAACCGAGAAAUUGCCAUGCUUGGUUUCAUUCCUACUCAAUUUGUCUUCCUCUUCCCUUCUAAUUGGCAAGGAAUGGAGUUUCCGUCAUAAGAAAUUCUCAACUUCCACGAGUUCCCAAUCAUUGAAUUUCCCAGAAAAAUUGGGUUUCCAACCCCUUCCCCACCUUGCUCCCUCACAUCCGCUACCCAAUCAUUUUUGUCCAAAGCUAUAGAGAAUAAAGUUAGGAAGGCUCAUUCCAAGGGUAAAUCAUCACACCAAAUAUCAUUUCAAAAUUUUACCCUUUUCCCAUUCCCAACUUUGGAAUGAUACCUGCUUUUAACAACCUCCCACCCUUUUCUAAUAGCUUUCCUUUGUGAUUUGAAUCUAUAAGGACUUUCUUUUUAUUGCAAAUCUCCAACUCCACUUACCAAGCAAAUCCUUGUUUAAAAUGGAUUAAAGAGCUCACCUGUGUUUGAUUUAAAAUUGUUUAGUUUGAUGAUAUCUCAUUGUGUGCCCUUCUCAUGUGGGACAAAUGGACAAUUUCUAAAGCACUUUAAGCAUUAUCUUCUCUGAAAAUAACAUCCAUCUUGGUUUUCUGAAAACAAGAAAACACAAUUGUUAUGGAAGUCUCCAAUUUUCUUUGGCUAACCCGGGUCACCUUGGCAAUAUUGGUUCCCUUCAGAAUUUUACUAUGCUAAUAAAGAAGAAUCAUGAGCAUUUUUCUUGAGUCAAUGGGAAGCUUUCAAGCUUAUAGUUUGUAUUUUUUAUUGUGGAAGGUGAUAUUUCCAACAUCAUCUAGUGGAGUAAAGAUUGUGGUGUAAAAGCUUGUAGACUCUCUGUCCUUUUGAAUAAGCUGUAGGUAUUCCUGAUUAGUUGGAUGUUUCUUAUCUAUGGGUUCCUGAGUUGCUUAUUGUGAAGUUAAUUUUAAUGCUGACAGUGGAGCUGUGACUUUUUACUAUGUGGGACCUUGAUGUUACCCUAGUUUAUUGUUCUAAUAGUUUUCAUUGUUUUAUUCUAUUUUUUCUUCUUUUUAUUGGCCUCAUCUCUUUGAGGAUUUUUUUUUCCUUCUUUAAUCUUCUUCUAUUAGACCUUGUCUUUGUAUUUUUAUCUUCCUGUUAAUAAGUUU
RNAcentral lists this long non-coding RNA (25262 nucleotides) under Vitis vinifera (wine grape). RNAcentral describes it as "long non-coding RNA (VVIN_LNC000958)". The record is from RNAcentral. Lineage: Eukaryota; Viridiplantae; Streptophyta; Magnoliopsida; Vitales; Vitaceae.